Non-coding RNA from Cinara cedri, 265 nucleotides. The record is from the annotation of a GenBank genome assembly. NCBI's taxonomy places the organism in Eukaryota, Metazoa, Arthropoda, Insecta, Hemiptera, Aphididae.
GGCGUGCUGUGAUAACCCGCAUGUUUAAGUGACGCGUGCUUUUUUUUUUUGUAGGUAUGAUUUCAAUAGGCCUAAUUCUGUCUUAAACUGCGCAAAUAUGAUGCUGGUCUUUCGCUAUCUCUGAUCGGAUUAUAAUUUUUGGCGGUUUUUUUGAAUUAUGAUAUUAGGUAAAGUAUUAUUUGGUAUCACGAUUUAAUUCACAAUAUAUGGAAUACGUAAACCAAUAAGAAACGGUGAAAGACCAGCACCAUAUUGGUCUAUGAGG